Molecule: long non-coding RNA, 376 nt
Organism: Melitaea cinxia (Glanville fritillary)
Lineage: Eukaryota; Metazoa; Arthropoda; Insecta; Lepidoptera; Nymphalidae
Exons: 2
Source: RefSeq, a predicted model, not a curated record
UCUGUUAUGGAUUGUCAGAAGGUCUUUAUUGUGUUGCGGUUGUUGUUGGGAAAUAAAUAAAUUUAGAGAGUUAUCCUUAUUGCAUUCUAUUAUAAACUGCACUACAGUGAUUUAGAAGAGUUUCUGCUAAAGAUUGUGAUUUGAAUAUCUUCACUUUGUAGUUAAACAGUAGCGAUGGUAACGAUCCUUAAAAUUACAAAUGUAAAUUGUUUGUAGUUUGUUUAUCGUCCCUUCAAGACUUCACGCCUCCGACGUUUGUUGUGAAAUUUGACUAACGGAUAUUUAGAAAAGAAGCCCGAAACAGACUAACGUCUAUAACAUAAAGAUAAAGAUAUACAGAAUACGAAAAAAGUUUUAAAUAAAACAAUAUAAUUGU